RNAcentral lists this ribosomal RNA (467 nucleotides) under uncultured bacterium. Its description in RNAcentral is "partial 16S ribosomal RNA". It matches the Rfam family "Bacterial small subunit ribosomal RNA", at positions 29 to 507 of the family's 1533-position model. The record is from RNAcentral.
ACGAACGCUGGCGGCGCGCUUAACACAUGCAAGUCGAACGGAAAGGCCCUGCUUUUGUGGGGUGCUCGAGUGGCGAACGGGUGAGUAACACGUGAGUAACCUGCCCUUGACUUUGGGAUAACUUCAGGAAACUGGGGCUAAUACCGGAUAGGAGCUCCUGCUGCAUGGUGGGGGUUGGAAAGUUUCGGCGGUUGGGGAUGGACUCGCGGCUUAUCAGCUUGUUGGUGGGGUAGUGGCCUACCAAGGCUUUGACGGGUAGCCGGCCUGAGAGGGUGACCGGCCACAUUGGGACUAAGAUACGGCCCAGACUCCUACGGGAGGCAGCAGUGGGGAAUAUUGCACAAUGGGCGGAAGCCUGAUGCAGCAACGCCGCGUGCGGGAUGACGGCCUUCGGGUUGUAAACCGCUUUCGCCUGUGACGAAGCGUGAGUGACGGUAAUGGGUAAAGAAGCACCGGCUAACUACGUG